Molecule: ribosomal RNA, 50 nt
Filed under: Neofusicoccum vitifusiforme
Lineage: Eukaryota; Fungi; Ascomycota; Dothideomycetes; Botryosphaeriales; Botryosphaeriaceae
Also listed under: 1 other name
Description: partial 28S ribosomal RNA
Source: RNAcentral
UCUCAAGGUUGACCUCGGAUCAGGUAGGGAUACCCGCUGAACUUAAGCAU